RNAcentral lists this ribosomal RNA (465 nucleotides) under uncultured bacterium. Its description in RNAcentral is "partial 16S ribosomal RNA". It matches the Rfam family "Bacterial small subunit ribosomal RNA", at positions 28 to 507 of the family's 1533-position model. The record is from RNAcentral.
GACGAACGCUGGCGGCGUGCUUAACACAUGCAAGUCGUACGGUAAGGCCCUUUCGGGGGUACACGAGUGGCGAACGGGUGAGUAACACGUGAGUAACCUGCCCACAACUUUGGGAUAACGCUAGGAAACUGGUGCUAAUACUGGAUAUGUGCUCCUGCUGCAUGGUGGGGGUUGGAAAGCUCCGGCGGUUGUGGAUGGACUCGCGGCCUAUCAGCUUGUUGGUGGGGUAGUGGCCUACCAAGGCGGCGACGGGUAGCCGGCCUGAGAGGGUGACCGGCCACAGUGGGACUGAGAUACGGCCCAGACUCCUACGGGAGGCAGCAGUGGGGAAUAGUGCACAAUGGGCGCAAGCCUGAUGCAGCAACGCCGCGUGCGGGAUGACGGCCUUCGGGUUGUAAACCGCUUUCAGCAGGGACGAAGCUUUUUGUGACGGUACCUGCAGAAGAAGCACCGGCUAACUACGUG